UGGGGAAUCAUGGUCAAUGGGCGAAAGCCUGAACCUGCGACGCCGCGUGAGUGAUGAAGGUCGUAAGAUCGUAAAACUCUUUUCAGGGAUCUUAAAGCACAACCGUCAACAACGGCUGUGUGUGACUCUCCCUGGAAGAAGCCCCAGCCAACUCCGUGCCAGCAGCUGCGGUAAUACGUAGGGGGCGAGCGUUAUUCGGAAUUACUGGGUGUAAAGGUUAUGUAGGCGGCCCUUCAAGUCGCUGGUCAAAGUCCAGUGCUCAA
This 263-nucleotide ribosomal RNA is filed under the name uncultured prokaryote. RNAcentral describes it as "partial 16S ribosomal RNA". It matches the Rfam family "Bacterial small subunit ribosomal RNA", at positions 355 to 612 of the family's 1533-position model. The record is from RNAcentral.